Molecule: ribosomal RNA, 465 nt
Filed under: Vreelandella stevensii
Lineage: Bacteria; Pseudomonadati; Pseudomonadota; Gammaproteobacteria; Oceanospirillales; Halomonadaceae
Description: partial 16S ribosomal RNA
Rfam family: Bacterial small subunit ribosomal RNA
Source: RNAcentral
CCUACGGGUGGCAGCAGUGGGGAAUAUUGGACAAUGGGGGGAACCCUGAUCCAGCCAUGCCGCGUGUGUGAAGAAGGCCCUCGGGUUGUAAAGCACUUUCAGUGAGGAAGAACGCCUGGUGGUUAAUACCCAUCAGGAAAGACAUCACUCACAGAAGAAGCACCGGCUAACUCCGUGCCAGCAGCCGCGGUAAUACGGAGGGUGCGAGCGUUAAUCGGAAUUACUGGGCGUAAAGCGCGCGUAGGUGGCUUGAUAAGCCGGUUGUGAAAGCCCCGGGCUCAACCUGGGAACGGCAUCCGGAACUGUCAAGCUAGAGUGCAGGAGAGGAAGGUAGAAUUCCCGGUGUAGCGGUGAAAUGCGUAGAGAUCGGGAGGAAUACCAGUGGCGAAGGCGGCCUCCUGGACUGACACUGACACUGAGGUGCGAAAGCGUGGGUAGCAAACAGGAUUAGAUACCCUAGUAGUC